Non-coding RNA from Dioszegia hungarica, 87 nucleotides. The record is from the annotation of a RefSeq genome assembly. NCBI's taxonomy places the organism in Eukaryota, Fungi, Basidiomycota, Tremellomycetes, Tremellales, Bulleribasidiaceae.
GCUCGUGUAGCUUAGUGGUAGAGCAUUGUGCUUAUGGGUUAACUAAAUGUAUCACAAAGGUCGUGAGUUCAAUCCUCACCGUGAGCA